Molecule: non-coding RNA, 2311 nt
Organism: Oryzias latipes (Japanese medaka)
Lineage: Eukaryota; Metazoa; Chordata; Actinopteri; Beloniformes; Adrianichthyidae
Source: RefSeq, a predicted model, not a curated record
AGUGGAGUACCUUGUCUCUCUUGGCUGCAGUUUCCGACUGAGGUACAGGACUGGUCGCUCUUCACCUGGGUCUCCCUGAGCCAGGACAGCACCAAGUCCGACUGCUGAGGCAUCCACUUGGACGAGGAACCUUUGAUCAAAGUCACGGGGUUUUUCUGCCUCUUCUCUGUAAGGGCAGUGAGAGGAGCUGCCAUGGUGGCGAACUGAUGGACAAACCGCCGGUACCAUCCAGCUAACCCCAGGAAGGAGCGUACCUCUUUCUUGGUGCGUGGUCGAGGGCAAUUGCGGAUAACUUCAACUUUAUCCACCUGCGGACGCACCUCACCACCUCCCAGCAGGCCUGCAUUUUGUAGUUUCCUCAGGACCAGACGCAGGUGAUCUAGGUGUUGCUCCCAGGUGUGACUGUAGAUCACCACGUCAUCCAAAUAGGCUGCACUACAGUGGUUACAUCCCUGCAGCACCCUGUCCAUCAGCCGUUGGAACGUGGCUGGUGCUCCAUGCAGACCAAAAGGCAUAACUGUAAACUGAAACAGUCCAGCAGGUGUUUUGAACGCCGUGUAUGGUCGACAGGUGUUGCUGAGAGGUACUUGCCAGUAACCCUUGCAUAGGUCAAGAGUGGUGAUGAAAUUAGCAGCCCCGAUCUUCUCCAGCAGGUCGUCAAUCCUCGGCAUUGGAUAUGCGUCGAACUCCGAAACUGCGUUCAGUUUCCUGAAGUCGAUGCAUAUCCGCAGUGAGUCGUCUUUUUUGGGAACGAUCACCACCGGACUGCUCCACUCUGAGUUGGACGGCUCGAUGACACCUAGCUCCAGCAUCUUCCUCACCUCAUCGUUCAGCCUUCCCACCAACUUCUGUGGUACCCGAUAAGGCCGUUGCCGGAUUGGUCGUCCAUCUUUGAGCCGUAUGGAAUGGCUAAUGAGUGUAGUUCUUCCUGGCUGUGCAGAAAAAAGAGAUGGCGUUUCACGAAAUAAGUCCAUUAUCUGUGUAGUCUGUUCCGGAGGUAAAUGUGACAGAGACGGAGGGGUUGAGUGAGUCAGUGCUCCCAGAUCAGAGUCCAAGUCUUCCUCAGUCUUCACAGCUCUGACUAGCAAAGACUUCUCUGUUGGAUGGUUAGCACCUUCCUUCCACUCUUUAAGUAGAUUCACGUGGUAUGUCUGCUUUUCUUUCUUUUUGUCAGGAUGGUGCACCUCAUAGGUGACAGGUCCCAUCCUGCGGAGAAUGGUGUAUGGCCCUUGCCACUUUGCCAGUAGUUUGCUGGUAGAAGAGGGAAGAAGUAGCAGAACCUUCUGACCUGGACAAACUGGAUCACACCCCUUUCUGAGGUCUUUGUGGAUUUGGCCUCCCAGCUCUUCUUGAGGAGAUCCAGUGGGCCUUGGACAUCCCAGCCAUAGAGGAGUUCGAAUGCAUCCUCUUCAGGGUCUGGUUGAAACGUUCCACCAAGCCAUUGGUCUGUGGGUGGUACGGUGUCGCCUUGAUGGCAGUGAUGCCAAGCUGCUGUUGGAACAGUUUCAUCAACCGAGAGGAGCUGUAAUGGUGCGCAGGGGAAAAGCUUCUGGGAACCGUGUAGCAUAAUCACAGACCACCAGGAUGUAUUCGUGACCGCUACUGCUCUUAGGUAAAGGUCCAACAAUGUCCAUGGCUAUUCUCCUGAAUGGAGUGGAAAUUAUAGGAAGUGGGUGUAGUAAUGCUCUGUCAGACUUGUGUGUUAUUGCAGUUUUCUGGCAGGUAGGACAUGUUGCACAGUACGUCUGAAUGUCAGUGUACAUUGAUGGCCAGAAAAAACGUGAACUAACCCGCAGAUAGGUUUUGUGACGACCCAGGUGACCCGCCCAUGGGAGUGUGUGCGCUAAUUGCAUGACGAGUGGCCUGCAGGUGGUUGGAAGAACUAACCGUAGGUGUUCACCUUCAGCUGCAUACAGAACAUCAUCAGCAACAAUAAACCGCACAUUUCCCAAACAUUUGUCACUCUCUGUUGUCACCUUGGCAAACAAUGGUUUUAAAGUUUGGUCCUCUUUCUGCAAAGCCGAAAUGUCAGCUGGUAUGUCAAAUGUUUCUGCUGUUGUUGUGAUCUCAGGAUCCAGCAACUUAAGUUUUUUCUCAAACCGUCUUUGACGACGGGAUUUUCUGGGCAUUUCUUUGCCUCCAUCAAAGAAAUCGUCAUCCAAACGUGGAAGACUUUGCAUUCCCGCUUUAGCCUGAGCUCUAGUUAGCACAGGUGCUGAGACAGUAACAGCUAGCUCAUCAUUAGCUUUAGCUGUUUCAGUAGCCUGUGUGCGAGCGUGUGUGCAUGCGUGUGCGCCUGCAGCGGCAGCUG